RNAcentral lists this ribosomal RNA (137 nucleotides) under uncultured eukaryote. Its description in RNAcentral is "partial 18S ribosomal RNA". It matches the Rfam family "Eukaryotic small subunit ribosomal RNA", at positions 1299 to 1458 of the family's 1831-position model. The record is from RNAcentral.
UGGUGGAGUGAUUUGUCUGCUUAAUUGCGAUAACGAACGAGACCUUAACCUGCUAAACAGCCAGGCCCGCUUUGGCGGGUCGCCGGCUUCUUAGAGGGACUAUCGGCUCAAGCCGAUGGAAGUUUGAGGCAAUAACA